This 301-nucleotide ribosomal RNA is filed under the name uncultured bacterium. RNAcentral's name for it is "partial 16S ribosomal RNA". It matches the Rfam family "Bacterial small subunit ribosomal RNA", at positions 509 to 807 of the family's 1533-position model. The record is from RNAcentral.
CAGUAGCCGCGGUAAAACGGAGGGUGCAAGCGUUAAUCGGAAUCACUGGGCGUAAAGCGUGCGUAGGCGGUUCGUUAAGUCUGUUGUGAAAGCCCCGGGCUCAACCUGGGAAUGGCAAUGGAUACUGGCGAGCUAGAGUGUGUCAGAGGAUGGUGGAAUUCCCGGUGUAGCGGUGAAAUGCGUAGAGAUCGGGAGGAACAUCAGUGGCGGAGGCGGCCAUCUGGGACAACACUGACGCUGAGGCACGAAAGCGUGGGGAGCAAACAGGAUUAGAUACCCGUGUAGUCCCUGUCUCUUAUAC